UACGGAGGGUGCAAGCGUUAUCCGGAUUCACUGGGUUUAAAGGGUGCGUAGGUGGGUCUGUAAGUCAGUGGUGAAAUCUCCGGGCUUAACCCGGAAACUGCCAUUGAUACUAUAGGUCUUGAAUUAUCUGGAGGUGAGCGGAAUAUGUCAUGUAGCGGUGAAAUGCUUAGAUAUGACAUAGAACACCGAUUGCGAAGGCAGCUCACUACGGAUCGAUUGACACUGAGGCACGAAAGCGUGGGGAGCAAACAGG
This 253-nucleotide ribosomal RNA is filed under the name uncultured bacterium. RNAcentral's name for it is "partial 16S ribosomal RNA". It matches the Rfam family "Bacterial small subunit ribosomal RNA", at positions 524 to 776 of the family's 1533-position model. The record is from RNAcentral.